GUUUAUUUUUGGUUGAGUUCGCGACAGUCAUGCGGUGGAAGCGGCAAACUUUUCCGGAUCUGCACCAACUUUCGGGAACUAAGAACGCGCCUGUUCCAACGGAUUCAAUGCGGAUGGAAAGAAUGUCGCCUCUGCUGCUAUGGAAAAUCGUGUUGACAUCGAUCUCGCUGCAGGACCUGCUGAUCUGAGGCUGACCAGCGUCUGAAUAGACCACCAACUUCCGUGUCACUUACGGUGUAACUUGUUAGGAACUGGCCUGAUGCGCGUUUCGAGUAAAAAGCUACUUAGAUUUGCCACGCCAUUUCACAGGAUCAGCGAUAGUGUUCACGAUUACUCGUGGCCCCCGGCCAUUACGGUUAAUUGAUGCGGAUAUAUCGAUGAGGAUAACGAAUCAUACGGGCUACUCCUAAUAACAACCACUACUAUUAUGAUUAUGCCAUUUAAAUACCUAUCGUUAAAUAUCGAGUUAAAUAUUGGAAAGAAAAUUAAUUGUAUGGGGCUGGGGAUUGGCAUCCUCGUUGGCAUCUAGUUACUCUUUAUCAUCAUAUUUAUUAUCUUAAAUGGCGUAAUCUGAAUCUUAAUUUUCUUUACUCAUAUUCUGUAGAAUAUAGAACACAAAAAUUAGACCAAAUAAAAAUUGUAUGUGUAAUAUUAAUAAAGUUGAAAAUGAUUAAUAAA
Molecule: long non-coding RNA, 678 nt
Organism: Armigeres subalbatus
Lineage: Eukaryota; Metazoa; Arthropoda; Insecta; Diptera; Culicidae
Exons: 3
Source: RefSeq, a predicted model, not a curated record